RNAcentral lists this small RNA (1251 nucleotides) under Galerina pruinatipes. RNAcentral's name for it is "eukaryotic LSU rRNA". The stretch from base 636 to 1251 matches the Rfam family "Eukaryotic large subunit ribosomal RNA", at positions 1 to 617 of the family's 3401-position model. Lineage: Eukaryota; Fungi; Basidiomycota; Agaricomycetes; Agaricales; Galerinaceae. The record is from RNAcentral.
ACACUUCAACGUGCGGAAGGAUCAUUAUUGAAUGAACUUGAUGUGGUUGUCGCUGGCCCUCUUGGGGGCAUGUGCACACCCGUCAUCUUUAUCUUUCCACCUGUGCACACUUUGUAGACUUGGAUAGUACUUUCAGAGGUAACUCUGCCGGGAGGAUUGCUGUGUGUCAAAGCCAGCUCUCCUUGCAUUAUCCAGGUCUAUGUUUAUAUACCCCAAAAAUGUAACAGAAUGUAUUAUUGGGCCUUGUGCCUAUAAACUAUAUACAACUUUCAGCAACGGAUCUCUUGGCUCUCGCAUCGAUGAAGAACGCAGCGAAAUGCGAUAAGUAAUGUGAAUUGCAGAAUUCAGUGAAUCAUCGAAUCUUUGAACGCACCUUGCGCUCCUUGGUAUUCCGAGGAGCAUGCCUGUUUGAGUGUCAUUAAAUUCUCAACCUUAUCAACUUUUACGAGUUCGAUAAUGGCUUGGAUGUGGGGGUUUGCUGGCUUCGUAAGAUGGUCUGCUCCCCUCAAAUGUAUUAGCUGGUGCCCCGUGUGGAGCCGUCUAUUGGUGUGAUAAUUAUCUACGCCGUGGAUGUCCACUUUAAAUGGGAUGUGCUGCUUCUAACCGUCUAUUUAGUUAGACAAUCAAUGACAAUUUGACCUCAAAUCAGGUAGGACUACCCGCUGAACUUAAGCAUAUCAAUAAGCGGAGGAAAAGAAACUAACAAGGAUUCCCCUAGUAACUGCGAGUGAAGCGGGAAAAGCUCAAAUUUAAAAUCUGGCGGUCUUUGGCUGUCCGAGUUGUAAUCUAGAGAAGUGUUAUCCGCGCUGGACCGUGUACAAGUCUCCUGGAAUGGAGCGUCAUAGAGGGUGAGAAUCCCGUCUUUGACACGGACUGCCAGGGCUUUGUGAUGCGCUCUCAAAGAGUCGAGUUGUUUGGGAAUGCAGCUCAAAAUGGGUGGUAAAUUCCAUCUAAAGCUAAAUAUUGGCGAGAGACCGAUAGCGAACAAGUACCGUGAGGGAAAGAUGAAAAGAACUUUGGAAAGAGAGUUAAACAGUACGUGAAAUUGCUGAAAGGGAAACGCUUGAAGUCAGUCGCGUUGGCCGGGAAUCAACCUUGCUUUUGCUGGGCGUACUUUCCGGUUGACGGGUCAGCAUCAAUUUUGACCGUUGGAUAAAGGUCAGGGGAAUGUGGCAUCUUCGGAUGUGUUAUAGCCCUUGGUCGCAUACAACGGUUGGGAUUGAGGAACUCAGCACGCCGCAAGGCCGGGUA